RNAcentral lists this ribosomal RNA (479 nucleotides) under uncultured bacterium. Its description in RNAcentral is "bacterial SSU rRNA". It matches the Rfam family "Bacterial small subunit ribosomal RNA", at positions 28 to 507 of the family's 1533-position model. The record is from RNAcentral.
GAUGAACGCUAGCGGGAGGCCUAACACAUGCAAGCCGAGCGGUAGGGUCUCUUCGGAGACUUGAGAGCGGCGUACGGGUGCGUAACACGUGUGCAACCUGCCUCUAUCUGGGGGAUAGCCUUCCGAAAGGAAGAUUAAUACCCCAUAAUAUAAUGAUUGGCAUCAAUUAUUAUUGAAAACUCCGGUGGAUAGAGAUGGGCACGCGCAAGAUUAGAUAGUUGGUGGGGUAACGGCCCACCAAGUCGAUGAUCUUUAGGGGUCCUGAGAGGGAGAUCCCCCACACUGGUACUGAGACACGGACCAGACUCCUACGGGAGGCAGCAGUGAGGAAUAUUGGACAAUGGGUGGAAGCCUGAUCCAGCCAUCCCGCGUGAAGGACGACGGCCCUAUGGGUUGUAAACUUCUUUUGUACAGGGAUAAACCUCCCCUCGUGAGGGGAGCUGAAGGUACUGUACGAAUAAGCACCGGCUAACUCCGUG